AGAGUUUGAUUCCUGGCUCAGAUUGAACGCUGGCGGCAGGCUUAACACAUGCAAGUCGAGCGGAAACGAUGAUAGCUUGCUAUCAGGCGUCGAGCGGCGGACGGGUGAGUAAUACUUAGGAAUCUACCUAGUAGUGGGGGAUAGCACGGGGAAACUCGUAUUAAUACCGCAUACGACCUACGGGAGAAAGGGGGCAGUUUACUGCUCUCGCUAUUAGAUGAGCCUAAGUCGGAUUAGCUAGAUGGUGGGGUAAAGGCCUACCAUGGCGACGAUCUGUAGCUGGUCUGAGAGGAUGAUCAGCCACACCGGGACUGAGACACGGCCCGGACUCCUACGGGAGGCAGCAGUGGGGAAUAUUGGACAAUGGGGGAAACCCUGAUCCAGCCAUGCCGCGUGUGUGAAGAAGGCCUUUUGGUUGUAAAGCACUUUAAGCAGUGAAGAAGACUCCGUGGUUAAUACCCACGGACGAUGACAUUAGCUGCAGAAUAAGCACCGGCUAACUCUGUGCCAGCAGCCGCGGUAAUACAGAGGGUGCAAGCGUUAAUCGGAAUUACUGGGCGUAAAGGGAGCGUAGGUGGCUCUAUAAGUCAGAUGUGAAAUCCCCGGGCUCAACCUGGGAACUGCAUCUGAAACUGUAGAGCUAGAGUAUGUGAGAGGAAGGUAGAAUUCCAGGUGUAGCGGUGAAAUGCGUAGAGAUCUGGAGGAAUACCGAUGGCGAAGGCAGCCUUCUGGCAUAAUACUGACACUGAGGCUCGAAAGCGUGGGUAGCAAACAGGAUUAGAUACCCUGGUAGUCCACGCCGUAAACGAUGUCUACUAGUCGUUGGGUCCCUUGAGGACUUAGUGACGCAGCUAACGCAAUAAGUAGACCGCCUGGGGAGUACGGCCGCAAGGUUAAAACUCAAAUGAAUUGACGGGGGCCCGCACAAGCGGUGGAGCAUGUGGUUUAAUUCGAUGCAACGCGAAGAACCUUACCUGGUCUUGACAUAUCUAGAAUCCUGCAGAGAUGCGGGAGUGCCUUCGGGAAUUAGAAUACAGGUGCUGCAUGGCUGUCGUCAGCUCGUGUCGUGAGAUGUUGGGUUAAGUCCCGCAACGAGCGCAACCCUUGUCCUUAGUUACCAGCGGGUUAAGCCGGGAACUCUAAGGAUACUGCCAGUGACAAACUGGAGGAAGGCGGGGACGACGUCAAGUCAUCAUGGCCCUUACGACCAGGGCUACACACGUGCUACAAUGGUAGGUACAGAGGGCAGCUACACAGCGAUGUGAUGCGAAUCUCAAAAAGCCUAUCGUAGUCCAGAUUGGAGUCUGCAACUCGACUCCAUGAAGUAGGAAUCGCUAGUAAUCGCGGAUCAGAAUGCCGCGGUGAAUACGUUCCCGGGCCUUGUACACACCGCCCGUCACACCAUGGGAGUUGAUUGCACCAGAAGUGGAUAGCUUAACCUUCGGGGAGGCGUUCACCACGGUGUGGUUGAUGACUGGGGUGAAGUCGUAACAAGGUAGCCGUAGGGGAACCUGCGGCUGGAUCACCUC
This 1529-nucleotide ribosomal RNA is filed under the name Psychrobacter sp. KJF3-30. Its description in RNAcentral is "16S ribosomal RNA". It matches the Rfam family "Bacterial small subunit ribosomal RNA". The record is from RNAcentral. Lineage: Bacteria; Pseudomonadati; Pseudomonadota; Gammaproteobacteria; Moraxellales; Moraxellaceae.